This 500-nucleotide ribosomal RNA is filed under the name uncultured bacterium. RNAcentral describes it as "partial 16S ribosomal RNA". It matches the Rfam family "Bacterial small subunit ribosomal RNA", at positions 30 to 523 of the family's 1533-position model. The record is from RNAcentral.
AUUGAACGCUGGCGGAAUGCUUUACACAUGCAAGUCGAACGGCAGCACGGACUUCGGUCUGGUGGCGAGUGGCGAACGGGUGAGUAAUGUAUCGGAACGUGCCCAGUCGUGGGGGAUAACGUAGUGUAAAUUACGCUAAUACCGCAUACGAUCUAUGGAUGAAAGCGGGGGAUCGCAAGACCUCGCGCGAUUGGAGCGGCCGAUAUCAGAUUAGGUAGUUGGUGGGGUAAAGGCCCACCAUGCCAACGAUCUGUAGCUGGUCUGAGAGGACGACCAGCCAAAGUGGAACUGAGACACGGUCCAGACUCCUACGGGAGGCAGCAGCGGGGAAUUUUGGACAAUGGGCGAAAGCCUGAUCCAGCCAUUCCGCGUGCAGGAUGAAGGCCCUCGGGUUGUAAACUGCUUUUGUACAGAACGAAAAGGUUUCUACUAAUACUAGGAGCUCAUGACGGUACUGUAAGAAUAAGCACCGGCUAACUACGUGCCAGCCGCCGCCGUAA